RNAcentral lists this long non-coding RNA (3332 nucleotides) under Homo sapiens (human). RNAcentral describes it as "HSALNT0349546". The record is from RNAcentral. Lineage: Eukaryota; Metazoa; Chordata; Mammalia; Primates; Hominidae.
GAAGUUGGCUGGGGCGGCGUGUUCCGGCACCUCGGCGCGGGUAAGAUGAGAGUCUGCUGUGAUUAUUGUAUGCUGGUCUCACUGGUAUAUGGGGCGAAACAAUUUGUCUUCAGAUCUAGAAGAAAUAUACCCAAGGAGUCUUAUCUACACCUGGACUUGGUUUAGAUGACAAGAUCUUGAACCUUGAGCCAGACUGCUGCUGUAAUAUGGUAAGACUCUUAGGGGUCUUGGGAGAGAGUUGAGAGUAUUUUGCACGUGGGAGGGCUGUGAGCCACUGGAAACCAGAGAGCAAACUGUUGCAGUUUGUUUUAUUGGUGGCCCCAAUAAGCUAUGCCUCUUAGUAUUCAUAACCUUGUGUAAUCCCCUUCCCAUGAAUCUGGUCUGGGUUUAUGACUUGCUUUAACUCAUCAAAUGCAGCAGAAGUGACACUGUGCCAGUUCUGAGCCUUAAGAAGUACUGUCAGCUUCUGCUUUGGUGCUUCCGGAUGCUGUGAUCUGCCAUAUAAAAAGUCUAAUUACCUUGCUAGAGGGGCUAUAUAAAAAGGCCUUAGAAAAACCCUGCCAUCUCAGCAUCUCAGCGGAGCCCAGCCCCCAUCCAACUCACACUGAAUUCAGCCAAUUAGUGAUCAUCAUCAAGAUCAGCAGAAACCUUAUCCAACUAAGCCCAGUCUGAAUAUCAGAGAGUGAGCAAAUACAAAGGUUGUUGUUUUAAGCCAUUAAAUGUUGGGAUGGUUUGUUACACAGUAAUAGAUAAGUGAAAUAGACCCAAUUAAAAUAGUUGAUCCAUAAGCAUAUAACAAAACUCAUUAUAACAAUAUCUCAAAAGCAUAAGAAGAAAAUUCUUUAUGGAAAAUAAACCUUUGGUUUCACUGAAGUUAAUUGACUAAAUUAACUCAACCACAAUUUGAGCAUAAAUCACAAUUGAAAAGACUGACUCGGCAGAGUAAAUGGAAAAGGCUCAAAGAGCCGACUAUAUUUAGCAUCUACUUGGGUUUGGUGUGGGAUGCAAGUGAGUUUUAAAAUCAGGAAAAGGAAAAAACCAUCAAGUCAGAGUAGAGCCUAGAGAUUUGUUUAUGCUUUCUCAUGCCAGAAACUUGAGAUCGCUUUCCUUCUUUGAGGAAGAAAAGUAUGAUUUGUAAUUUUGCACAGCUGAGAAGAAAUGUUUCCGCUAUCCCUCCAAACCUCACUCCCUGCCUUCCAGCCACAUACAGAACCAAUGCAGCUCCUCAAAUGAGCCUCUCUGCUUUGUUCAUGUUAUUCUUCCUGCUUGUGUUCUGUUUCCCCAUCCAUCCAUUAACUGCUAAACUUCACCCACUUCACCCACUUGGAAAAUGAGGUGAAGCUUCCACUUGGGGAAAAUCUUUCUGACAACUGUCCCUCUGUGCCCUCAAGUAGGCUAAUCACCCCUGCCUUGGGACACCACUGUACUUUGUUUUCACCUGUAUUCUUUGGCUGUACAAUUAUUAGGAUGGUUUGUUUGCUUGUCCUUUACUCCUCCUUGACCAUAAAUUUCUACUAGAGACAGGAAGAAAUCCUACUGAGAUAAGUAUACGUGGCAUUUAUUACAUGCUUAUAAUGUGGCCUAACAUCAGUGGUUUUCAAAGUUUUGGUUGUAUCAAGGGUGCCUAUUAAAAAUGCGUAUUUUUAGCUGGGUGUGGGGACUCACGCCUGUCAUCCCAGCACUUUGGGAGGCCAAGGGGGGCGGAUCACCUGAGGUCAGGAGUUCGAGAUCAUCCUGGCCAACCAGGUGAAACCCUAUCUCCACCAAAAAUACAAAAAUUAGCCAGGCGUGGUGGUGGGCACCUGUAAUCCCAGCUACUUGGGAGACUGAGGCAGGAGAAUGGCUUGAACCUGGGAGGUGGAGGUUGCAGUGAGCUGAGAUUGCGCCAUUGCAGUCCAGCCUGGGCGACAGAGUGAGUCUCCGUCUCAAAAAAAAAAAAAAAAAAAAAAAGCAUAUUUUCAACAACCAGCCCCAGAUAGCCUCAUUCAUUUGGGGCUGGGAGAUCUGCAUUUUUAACAGGCACCUAGAUACAAUAAUUGGUCAGGCAACUCUAUCUUACAAAAUAUGGGCCUCAGGACCUCCUGUCUUCUCUUGCCUCUCUCUGGCUGCCUAACCUGGGCUAUUUCCCUACAGUAAAGGAAAAACCAAGGAAGAUAACUGGGUGAAACUCAAAUCAGGUAAACACACUUUUAAAGUUCUGACCUGGAAGUUGAAGGUGCAGGCUAAAAUAAUAAUUAUUCAUCAAUGGUAUUUAUUUCCAUUUUUCCUGACUUCCUUUUCCACCACUAGUCAAGAACCGGCCAUAUUUAAAAUUAUGCUGGUUGACAUUUUCUCAAGGCACCCUUUGAAUAACCCUUCAAAGCCAGAAAAAUUUAUGUAUUUGGAAAUUAAAUUGUGAUGAGCUUGUCUGUCAGCUGCAUGAUGUUUCCCCACUCAUUCUGUUCUGGGUGAUAAAUCCAUAAUCACUGAAGUCAAGAGCUGUUCAUUACAUAUAUUCAUAUAACCUGGUCCGAGGCCCAGACUAUCUGAAUUGGCAGUAGCAAUACCAGCUACUAUUUAUUUACCUCUUGCUUUGUGCUGUGGCUGGGAUCAGUGUUUUACAUCAUUUUGUUCUUUAAUCCGUAUCAACACCUUUGAGAUAGGUUUUAGAGGUAAGAAAGGUGGGGCUCAGAGAAAUUUAAAACAACUCAUCCAAAGGGCAAGAUGAGGUAGGAUGAAAAGAUAUGUCUGUUUCCCUCAGCACCGGAAUUCCGUACUACACCGUGGGCCAGCUCCUUAGAGCCUGCCUGGGCCCGUGGCUAGGUGGUAUCAGGGCAGAACUUAAGACCCACGAUUCCUGGCCCCCAGCAUAAUUUUUUUUUAUGACCUCACACAUGGGGCAAAAGGAAAGCCGAAAACAUUAAUAAUUAAUUCUGGUAAAAAGAGAGGGUGGUGAUAUGGUUUGGCUGUGUCCCCUCCCAAAUCUCAUCUUGAAUUGUAGUUUCCAUAAUCCCCACAUGUCCUGGGAGGGACCAGGAGGAGAAAACUGAAUCAUGGGGCAGUUUCCCCCAUUUUGCCGUCCUGUUCUCGUGAUAGUGAGCGAGUUCUCACAAGAGCUGAUGGUUUUUAUAAGGGGCAUUCCCUGCCCAGUGCCCCCGCCCCACCACCUUCGCUCUGCGUUAUUUUCCUGCCAUCAUGUGAAGAAGGACAUAUUUACUUCCCCUUCUGCCAUGACUGUAAGUUUCCUGAGGCUUGCCCAGACAUGCGGAACUGUGAAUCAAUUAAACAUCUUUCCUUUAUAAAUUACCCAGUCUCGAGCAGUUCUUUAUUGCAUUGUGAGAAUGGACUAAUAC